This is a non-coding RNA of Seriola aureovittata, 357 nucleotides long. The record is from the annotation of a RefSeq genome assembly. NCBI's taxonomy places the organism in Eukaryota, Metazoa, Chordata, Actinopteri, Carangiformes, Carangidae.
AUGAUGGACUAUAGGACAGGACUGCUGCUUUUAACUCUCUGCUGGGCAGGUGUUGAUGGUCAGACUCUGACAGAAUCUGAAUCAGUUGUUAAAAGGCCUGGAGAAUCCCACAGACUGACCUGUACAGGUUCUGGAUUCACAUUCAGCAGCUACUGGAUGCACUGGAUCAGACAGGCUCCUGGAAAGGGACUGGAGUGGAUUGCUGCUGCUCAUGGUAGCAGCAAGUUCUACUCUCAGUCAGUCCAAGGCCGGUUUACCAUCUCCAGAGACGACAGCAGACAGCAGCUGUAUCUGCAGAUGAACAGUCUGAAGACUGAAGAUUCUGCUGUUUAUUAUUGUGCUCGAGACUCACAGUGA